ACAUCAGUAUCAAUUGCCAAGGACACCCAUGAUGCACUGCUGGACCUGAAAUUCAUGUUCUACUAUAACCUGUCUAUGACGAGGAUCAAAAUACCAUCAAACGUCACCUGUACUCGCUGUGGUCUGCAGGUGGAGGCUGCGGUGAAGGAGUGCAUGGGCUGCGAGCCACACACCGUCAUGACAUCCUGCGCUUUCAUCCGUGUUACCAAACGAGGCAACAUUCUGAUACCCAUCUUACCCCCCUCCCGCCCUGACCAACCCCUGCCCCGCCCCAACCGACCCUCACUCCCCGACACGCCACACAUUCCGCCCCCAGCGCCCUGCCUACAGUCCCAUUGGCCCCACCCGUACUACCCCAUGCGUCCCCCACCAACUAGCCGCCCGCGUUCCUCCCCAAUUCCGUCCCAUUCACCCCCCUCCAAGCCCCUACAUAAGGUAUUAGAAGCACUCCAAGGUGGAAAUUUCUUUUUUUUUUCUUUUUCUAUUCUAUGCAAGAGAAAAAAACCAGCUAAAGACAAGAAAAUAUAAAAAAAAGGGCCAUUUGAAAUUCCAGCUCCCUUAAAGAUUGAAUUUAAGUGUGUGUGUGUGUGUGUGUGUGUGUGUGUGUGUGUGUGUGUGUGUGUCCUGGUAAGGUUGUGACACUUGAUAUAUGACACUUGACACACGGAUGGAUGCACGCUGGUUGUCAUUCGUGCAGUUAUGAAACUCGCGAUACAGUUUGGUGAGUUUUGUGCACGUAAGGCUGUCUCAUUCAAUAAAGUUACCACAGGCAUCAA
Molecule: long non-coding RNA, 776 nt
Organism: Portunus trituberculatus (swimming crab)
Lineage: Eukaryota; Metazoa; Arthropoda; Malacostraca; Decapoda; Portunidae
Exons: 2
Source: RefSeq, a predicted model, not a curated record